Molecule: long non-coding RNA, 1201 nt
Organism: Homo sapiens (human)
Lineage: Eukaryota; Metazoa; Chordata; Mammalia; Primates; Hominidae
Product: long intergenic non-protein coding RNA 1791
Source: Ensembl
AGGCUGCCAGAAUUCCACCCUUGUCUCAUUCCGAGAUUGUGUGCUGAGGGUUUUCAACUGCAUCUCUAAAGGGAAGGCCAAAGAAAGAGCAACAGGAAAGGAUGGUAAAAAGGGGGUAGAAAGGAAGAAGGAAGGGAAGAAAAAAGGGAAAACAGCAAGCUCUCUUUCCAGAGCCACACAUUUUUUUCUGUUUGCUCAGUGGCAGUCUGUUAAAGAAAUACUUCAUUGUCACUGAACACAGAGUCAUUAAAGGCACCUUGGAAAUUUGGACCCUUUUACUAGAAUCAGGGCUUAAAUAGCAACUUAAUUUAUGACACUUCUCGAGGCUGAUGGCGUUUUUGCUCUAAGGCACACAGAGCACUGCAUUAUCUGUCAUUUUCAUUAGAUUCAAGCUACAGCUGGGCCAAAAAGACUUAGUUCUAGCAUAUGUGCUCAAAAUGGCCAAGCUGCGAUUGUCCAAAUUCACCCUUUCAAGAUUGCAUUACUGAACAACUGGAGCCAAAGCUAGAAAUUGGAGAGAGCAAAGCGCCUGAAUUCCACUUGGAAAAUGGCAAACACCAUAGGCUCUGAAGAUUGAAGCGUAUUAUCAUGACUAACUCAAAGGGUCAGAGGAGACACUGGCUUCCACCAGCAAGCUCAACGUCUUUUGGCACAUCUGAGGAAUUCACAGGGCAAAAGGUACAGAAGGAAACUGUGCUCCAGGGUGAGACAUGUCAUCAGAAGGCUGUCAUCUGGACCUUGGAGGAAGGACAGCAGACCUGCCUUGCAAGAAAUGUUAAAAGAAGUGCUUUAGAGAGCAGGGAAAUUCUAUAGGUCAGACACUUGGAUCUACAUAAAAAAAGGAAGAAACCAAAGGAGAAAUAAGUGAAGGCAUGGAAACCUUGUUCCACACAUUGCCUGGUGCCCUGUCCAGCGCUGCAAGGUGCACUGCGUCUCCUCUGCCCAGCAAGCCACAAGCCCCUCCAGGGUGAGAGGAGAGCCUUCCCUUCCCUUGGUCCUCCCUUCGACACAGGGAGCUGGAGCUGGACAGCCCCAUAGGCACUCAGGGCUUGAAGAAGAUAUCUAGAAAUGUCAAAGCAGAAGAGCCUCGGAGAUAAUCUGAACUAUUUCUGAGUUUAUAUAAGGGAAAACUGAGACUGGAGAGAACUAACAUGUCUAAUAUUACAAUGGAAACUUGUAAUAAAACCACAAAUUGAGUCAA